This 74-nucleotide transfer RNA is filed under the name Euryarchaeota archaeon RBG_16_68_12. RNAcentral describes it as "tRNA-Arg". It matches the Rfam family "tRNA". Rfam says of the family: Transfer RNA (tRNA) molecules are approximately 80 nucleotides in length. The record is from RNAcentral. Lineage: Archaea; Methanobacteriati; Methanobacteriota.
GGGCGCGUAGCUCAACCGGACAGAGCGUCUGCCUUCGAAGCAGCUCGAUGUGGGUUCGACUCCUGCCGCGCCCG